Molecule: ribosomal RNA, 459 nt
Filed under: uncultured bacterium
Lineage: Bacteria
Description: partial 16S ribosomal RNA
Rfam family: Bacterial small subunit ribosomal RNA
Source: RNAcentral
CCUACGGGCGGCUGCAGUGAGGAAUAUUGGUCAAUGGGCGCGAGCCUGAACCAGCCAAGUCGCGUGAGGGAAGACGGUCCUCUGGAUUGUAAACCUCUUUUGUCGGGGAGCAAAAGACGCCACGCGUGGCGUUCCGAGCGUACCCCAAUGUAAAGCAUCGGCUAACUCCGUGCCAGCGGCCGCGGUAAUACGGAGGAUGCGAGCGUUAUCCGGAUUUAUUGGGUUUAAAGGGUGCGCAGGCGGAAGAUCAAGUCAGCGGUAAAAUUGAGGGGCUCAACCUCUUCGAGCCGUUGAAACUGGUUAUCUUGAGUGAGCGAGAGGUAUGCGGAAUGCGUGGUGUAGCGGUGAAAUGCAUAGAUAUCACGCAGAACUCCGAUUGCGAAGGCAGCAUACCGGCGCGCAACUGACGCUCAUGCACGAAAGUGUGGGUAUCGAACAGGAUUAGAUACCCUAGUAGUC